Neofelis nebulosa (Clouded leopard) is the source of this 510-nucleotide long non-coding RNA. RefSeq lists it as uncharacterized. The record is from RefSeq and is a predicted model, not a curated record. The transcript has 3 exons. NCBI's taxonomy places the organism in Eukaryota, Metazoa, Chordata, Mammalia, Carnivora, Felidae.
GUGGACAAGCAGGAAAUUGUGGCUGCUCUAGGUUGAUAUAAUGGAGGUGGAGCUGUACCUUGUAAUUAGAUCAAAGGUUUUUCAUUUGAUGAGUGGCCAGUGUGGGAUGGAAUAGGAGGCCAGCAUGAUCAAAUAGAAAGAACUUGUGUGGUAGAGAUUAGAGAAGUAGUUCCCAGCCCUGUCUUCCUGUGACAAUCACCUUUUAAAACAUGUUGACGCCCUGGUGUCAUAAGCCAAUGGAAUUAGAAUGUGGAAGUGGACCUAGGCAUUGGCACGUUUUGAAAAAUUAUCAGGUGAUAUCCUUUGGUUGGUGCUCUGUCUCCAGCUUUCCUGGCUGAUAUCUCUGUCACUGACUAUGGUGAAAACACUGGGGCAUGCUGAUGAAGCCUAAAAGUAACUUGAAGGAAGGCAAUGAUCUCACAGUUCAGGAGUUCAAGCUCCACAUCUGGCUAUGAGAUAAGCUUGGAGCCUACUUGGGAUUUUCUCUCUCUCUCUCUCUCUCUCUCUCUC